Molecule: long non-coding RNA, 553 nt
Filed under: Aquilegia coerulea
Lineage: Eukaryota; Viridiplantae; Streptophyta; Magnoliopsida; Ranunculales; Ranunculaceae
Description: long non-coding RNA (ACOE_LNC000302)
Source: RNAcentral
CGUCUGUACACAAAAUUAAAAUAACCUAAUUAACCGUGGGAGAAUUUAUAAAAAAAAAAUUAAUUUUAAUUCAAAUUAACCCUUUCUUCUUCAUCAUCUUCAUGGUUUGAGACAAACCCAUUCAUACCGACCAUUUAAUGGAACAUCCUUCGCAAUGUCGUAAUUAUAACUGUAGUAGGGUGUUGCACAAUGGAAGGCCGAUAUAUUUAAAUAUGACUCUGCUCUUGGUCAGUGUUCCACAUGUAAGUUCAAAGGUUAAUCAGUCGUAGCAGGAUAUAUCAGUAGCCAAGUCGAUCAUUAAGGGAGGUACGACCAUCACCAGAUUGGUCUGCAUGAAUAAAGUUGCAUCAGUCAAAGAAUGAAUUGUAGAUACUAAAAAUCAAGCACAAUACAAAAAGUCAAGUAUGCAGAACUGUAGAGUACCCUUCGGAGGUAUCCGGGCUUCAUAAUCAGGAUUACUCUUUAGAAAAACAGGCCUUUCAGGACCAAUGACUCUUUUGGCUUCUUAUUAUCGUUUUGUGAUUGAGUUCUCAUCCCCAAGGCUUUCAUGCUG